Oncorhynchus tshawytscha (Chinook salmon) is the source of this 2431-nucleotide long non-coding RNA. RefSeq lists it as uncharacterized. The record is from RefSeq and is a predicted model, not a curated record. NCBI's taxonomy places the organism in Eukaryota, Metazoa, Chordata, Actinopteri, Salmoniformes, Salmonidae. The transcript has 3 exons.
AUAUUUGUUAUGAAUAGAACAUAAGCAAAACCAAAUUUAGAGGGGAAAUAUGUUGCUCUUCAAUAACAUGAAGAGUCGCAUAAUAUGCUUCUAUCUGACAUUUUACAUUAGAUACUAUUCAUUUAAAUCAAUAAUGUAUAUUUUUCUGAAUCGUUCAUGUGAAAGAAAACAUAAAAUGCAUAGCCAGCCAGUCGCUUUUGACCGUCCGUCACUGCGUCACUCCUCCCCCGGCCUGCUACUGCACAGUGCACUGCCAGAUGACAGUCUGCCUCAUGGACAGCAGCAGCUGAGCUCAGCCUCGUGUCUCUGGUGGCAUCAUCGGAAGGUAGCCUAGCUGGCCUGUUGAGUUGAGACCACCAGACUGCUAACCAACAGCAGCAUGGCACAAAAGUACGGAACAGGCAUCAACAACAGUCAGCGGUUGACAACCAAACGAGGCAGGACUCAGCUAGCGCUAUCAACCCGUUCCUUGACCAACAGAUAUAUCCCAGUCAAGAGCAGAGGGGCCCAAACAGUCACAUCUGUAUUUUUUCCCUUGGACCCUUCAGGGGGAUAGAAGACGAGGCUUCAUGAAAGAGUGGUACAGUACGCAUAAAUGGCGAGAAUACUCUCAGAGUAAAGACUCUGCCUACUGCUAUGCUUGCCGGCACUUCAGUCUCCCCCUCAGGUGAUUCAGUGUUUACAUCUGAAGAAUGGUUCAAAAAUGUGAAAAAAGCUACUUACAAAGAUGAAAAAAAAUUAGAAUCACAUACUAAUGCUAUGUUAGCAUGGGCAGAAUAUGAAAAGCCGACUGCAAGCAAACGCUCCCUCUCAGCCUCCUUAAAUGCAGAAUCUAAUAAAUUAGUGAGGGGAAAUAGAGAGUACAUUAAAACUGUUGGGAGAAACCCUGCUCCUCACAGCUACGCAAAACGUUGCACAGAGAGCACAUAAAGAAACGGCAGGUCAGAAUAAAAAGGACAUUUCCUCUCUGCUAUGGAACUGCUAGCCAAGCAUGAUCACACAGUCAAAAGAAAAAUGACAAGUCAAAGAAAUGCAACAUACUCUGGGCAUAGUACACAUAAAACAAAAUAAUUGCUUGCAUGGCUGAAAUGGUACGCACCUCAAUAAUUAGUGAAGUUGCACAAAGUGAGGCUUUCGGCAUUAUGGUUGACGAGACCAAAGACAUUGUCAAGAAGGAACAGAUGUCCUUUGUAAUUCGAUACUAUUACAAUGGGUCAAUAUGUGAAAGUUUCCUCACCUUUGAAGCAGCAGAGCGCCAGGAUGCUACAGCACUUUCACAGAAAAUUUUACAAAUACUGCAGAAGUAUGGCCUUGACUACAGAAACCACCUAGUAGGGCAAGCAUAUGAUAGUGCCUCUGUCAUGAGUGGAAAGGACACAGGUGUGCAAGCACGCAUUAAAUCAGAGGCCCCAUUAGCUUUUUAUGUUCACUGAAAUGCACAUUGCUUAAAUGUAGUAUUAGUUUGACAGUGUAAAAUGCAUCCCUGAAGCCUAUUGUUUCUUUUCUAUUUUGCAGAAACUGUAUGUCUUUGUGUCAGGGUCAUAUGUGCACCAAAUGUGGCUAGAGGUACAAAGGGAGAUGUUUCAGGGGGCCCCGAGAGAGUUACAACAGCUGAUAGAAACACGGUGGGCAUGUAGGUACAAUGCUUGCAAGACCGCGAGGGACAGACUGCCAGCCAUCAUACGUCUACCGAAAUAAAUAUCUGAAGAGAGAAAUGGAGACAGAGCUGUAGAGGCAAGAGGUCUAUAAGCCCAAAUAUAUCUAAAGUUUGUUGGCCUCCUUGUAACAUUCACCAAUGUUUUUGGUGAGAUAAAACAUCUGUCAGAUAUUUUACAGUCCCCACAAUUCAACUUGGGCACAUCAAGGGUAUUACAUUUCCACUCCAAUAGUUCAAAGACAGGUCAGCACAGAUAAGGAGUCAUUUCGGGCAGGUUCAUUCAUUCCAAUUGUUGAUGUGCUUCUCUCUGAGGUGAAGAGAAGAUUUUCUGAAGAAAAUUGUGUCAUAAUGCAAGGGAUACAAGCCUUGAAUCAGCAUGUGAGCGCUGUUUUUCUGUGCUAAAGUUAACACCCCCAAAUUGCUCAAUCGCUCGUCACUCAUUGUAUUUCUCAAGACAGUCUUGAUUAAGUGUAGAGUCAAGAAGGGCUAGUGCCAUAAAUCUUGAUGAUUUUGUGGAUGUGUUUGCCAAAAGACACAGCAACAGGUGAAUAAAGCUGUACUGAAAAGAAUGUAGCCUAAUAAAGCAGGGAUAUGAAUAGGUUGUGAGUAGGCUAUAGUAAAAUGUAUAUUGUUGUCCAUGAUUAUGCUUUUGUUUUUCCAUUUUGGGACAAAUAUAAUAUAAUAUUUUCGUUUAGAAAAAGACACAGCAACAGCCAAAUAAAGCUGUAUUGAAUAUAAUUGGAGGCCUCUGUGUGGUGUUUUUAAACUCGAGUA